This 461-nucleotide ribosomal RNA is filed under the name uncultured bacterium. RNAcentral's name for it is "bacterial SSU rRNA". It matches the Rfam family "Bacterial small subunit ribosomal RNA", at positions 33 to 507 of the family's 1533-position model. The record is from RNAcentral.
GACGCUGGCGGCGUGCUUAACACAUGCAAGUCGAACGGAAAGGCCCCCUUGUGGGGUACUCGAGUGGCGAACGGGUGAGUAACACGUGAGUAACCUACCCUUGACGUUUGGGAUAACUUCAGGAAACUGGGGCUAAUACCGGAUAGGAGCUCCUGCUGCAUGGUGGGGUUGGAAAGUUUCGGCGGUUGGGGAUGGACUCGCGGCUUAUCAGCUUGUUGGUGGGGUAGUGGCUCACCAAGGCUUUGACGGGUAGCCGGCCUGAGAGGGUGACCGGCCACAUUGGGACUGAGAUACGGCCCAGACUCCUACGGGAGGCAGCAGUGGGGAAUAUUGCACAAUGGGCGGAAGCCUGAUGCAGCAACGCCGCGUGCGGGAUGACGGCCUUCGGGUUGUAAACCGCUUUCGCCUGUGACGAAGCGUGAGUGACGGUAAUGGGUAAAGAAGCACCGGCUAACUACGUG